Long non-coding RNA from Aedes aegypti (yellow fever mosquito), 722 nucleotides. RefSeq lists it as uncharacterized. NCBI's taxonomy places the organism in Eukaryota, Metazoa, Arthropoda, Insecta, Diptera, Culicidae. The transcript is spliced from 3 exons. The record is from RefSeq and is a predicted model, not a curated record.
UUAAAUUAAUAAAAAUGGAUCCUACUCAAGACCAAUUCCGGAUGUUCAUACGUAAGUAAAGUUCAGUGCAUUGAAUAAGAUUAAAAUUUAAGGAUGAAUAAUAUUUCAGAAGCAGCAUCACGUCGAAGCCAAACAUCCGCUGGCAGCAGUCACUAUGGUAGUCAACCUGCACCUCCGCAGAAAGAUGAUUCGUGCGAUGAAAAAUUCAAGCUACGGGAGAGUUGCAAAUGCCGAACCUGCACCUUCAAAAAAGGAUAAUUCAGUUUUUAAGCUCUCUAAGUGGAAAAGCGCUGAGUCGCCACGGAGCUGGAAGGAGCGCACUGGAACUUUUCAAAAUGUUUCAGGUCAGGAUGUGUCAUCAGUGUCUACCAAAUCAGCACGGCGCUCGUUGAAUUUCGAUAGUUUGCGUCCAAAUUAACUGCAGGACAGGUCAACAAUCCUUCAAAAACAGCAGCAUUCAUCGUGUUCCGUUUCAUGAGAUGAAAAUUUCAAGCUACGGGAAUGUUGCAAAUGCCCGUACAACGGAUUGGAUUUUGCAACAGAAUCACGCAAAGUACAACAGAUGUAGGUUAACAGUUUUAUCCAACACUCGAGUCAAAAGCAGCAAUCUCUCCUCUACAGUAGCCACGCCACCCAUAUAUCGAUCUUUGAAGUCUCACUCUGCAUCCAUCAAAGGAAAUGAUAAAUCACUGAGAAAACUGAUCAGUGAUUCAACGGCUACA